Long non-coding RNA from Oncorhynchus keta (chum salmon), 736 nucleotides. RefSeq lists it as uncharacterized. The transcript is spliced from 3 exons. The record is from RefSeq and is a predicted model, not a curated record. NCBI's taxonomy places the organism in Eukaryota, Metazoa, Chordata, Actinopteri, Salmoniformes, Salmonidae.
AACCUAUUGCUUUGCAGUUUUCCCUGUUGAAAAACUGGAGCCGCCAACUGAGGCAGCAGACGCUGCUGUCUGAGGAUGAGGAGUAUACCACGGGGUCAGAGGUCACUGAGGAUGAGGUGGGGGAUGAAGAGGAGGCCAGCAAGAAACAAGGUAGAGUAAUUAGGCUCUCUAUUUGGUUUAUACUCUAAUUGGAAAAACUGUAUGGCUGAGAGGGAUGAGGCAAAGGAAAUAGCAAAUACGUCUGACAACACAGCAGAUUGGUAAACAUAGAAAUCACAUAACUAAACAAAAAGAAGAAACUAUACCAUGAAAAAACCUCAAGUGCAUUUAAUGAAAUUCUAGGCAAAAAAAAGUUAACUCAUCUGUCAUUGAGGCAGAUGACUUGUUCAUAACAAAACCUUUUAAUAUUACCAAACACUUUAAUCACUUUGUUGUUGACGAGAUUUAGCAAACUUAGGUAUGACUUGCAAAUAACAAAUGCUGAGCCUUCAUAUUCAUGCUAGUGGUUAGAGUGUAGGGACGGUAGGUUAGCCUAGUGGUUAGAUUGUAGGGACGGCAGGUUAGCCUAGUGGUUAGAGUGUAGGGACGGCAGGUUAGCCUAGUGGUUAGAGUGUAGGGACGGCAGGUUAGCCUAGUGGUUAGAGUGUAGGGGCGGCAGGUUAGCCUAGUGGUUAGAGUGUAGGGACGGCAGGUUAGCCUAGUGGUUAGAGUGUAGGGACGGCAGGUUAGCCUAGUG